GCCGAAGAACAUUCCCUAUUGUAUACAUAACAAGAGUUUCUUGAUCCCUUUAUCUGUGGAUGGACAGGAGAUGAAGAUGUUUUCAGUCUGCAUGCCUGAGAUGGUGUGGAAUGGGACUUUGUCUACCAGGCUCAUUUGUUGGACCUGAUGUUCUCCAGGUUUCUUCAUGUGGCUGCAGGUGGCAGGAUUUCUCAGAGCUUUAUGGCUGGAACAUAUUCCGUGGUGUAUCUGUACAGCAGUUUCUUCAUCCCUGCAGCUGUGUGUGGACGGGCCAUAUACCAUGAUGUCCUCCAGGUUCAACAGUGUGGCUCCAAAUGAUGAAAUUUCAUUCUGGUUUUCUGGUUGAAGACGAUUCUAUUUGUGUACAUCCACCAAGUAUCCCUUCAUCUGCGGAUGGGCAGGUUUUUCCAUGUGGCUGCAAGUGACGAGAUUUCACCCAUUUCUACGAUUGAAGAAUAUUCUACUCUGGAUGUAUAUUGCAGUUUCCUCGUCCCUUCAUCAAUGGAUGAACAGGUAGGUGCAUUUCCUAUCUUGGCUAUCGUGAGUACUGCAGUACGGAGGGCAAGGCAGGUAUCUCUUUCACAUAGGAAUGGAAUGAUGGCUAGAUGAAAUGGCGUUUUUACUUUGUUUGAGGCACUUC
This is a long non-coding RNA of Sapajus apella (tufted capuchin), 640 nucleotides long. RefSeq lists it as uncharacterized. The transcript is spliced from 4 exons. The record is from RefSeq and is a predicted model, not a curated record. Lineage: Eukaryota; Metazoa; Chordata; Mammalia; Primates; Cebidae.